Molecule: ribosomal RNA, 1227 nt
Filed under: Gammaproteobacteria bacterium
Lineage: Bacteria; Pseudomonadati; Pseudomonadota; Gammaproteobacteria
Also listed under: 1 other name
Description: partial 23S ribosomal RNA
Rfam family: Bacterial large subunit ribosomal RNA
Source: RNAcentral
UUUUUAAAGCGAAUAAGGGCGCAUGGUGGAUGCCUUGGGUCUGAGAGGCGAAGAAGGACGUGGUAAGCUGCGAAAAGCCGGGGGGAGCUGCACACAAGCGAAAUAUCCCCGGGUCUCCGAAUGGGACAACCCACUAUACUGAAGGUAUAGUACUCGAAAGAGAGCCAACCUCCUGAACUGAAACAUCUAAGUAGGGAGAGGAAAAGAAAACAAUAGUGAUUUCCUGAGUAGUGGCGAGCGAAAAGGGAAGNNUUGUAGGACUACAUUUAGGAAUUAUCAAGAAGCUGAAUUAUCUGGAAAGAUAAGCCAUAGCAGGUGAAAGCCCUGUAGGCGUACAAUGAUAAGGACGCGUAGUAUCCUGAGUAGUGCGGGACCGGAGAAAUCCUGCAUGAAUCAGCCAGCACCAUCUGGUAAGGCUAAAUACUCCUCAGAGACCGAUAGUGAACCAGUACCGUAAGGGAAAGGUGAAAAGUACCCCGAAUAGGGGAGUGAAAUAGUACCUGAAACCGUGCGCUUACAAGCGGUCGGAGCUCUCAAGAGUGACGGCGUGCCUUUUGCAUAAUGAGCCUACGAGUUGCUCCUCACUGGCGAGGUUAAGUUCUUCAGGAACGGAGCCGUAGCGAAAGCGAGUCCGAAUAGGGCGAAUAGUCAGUUGGGGCAGACGCGAAACUUUGUGAUCUAUCCAUGAGCAGGUUGAAGUUCCGGUAACACGGAAUGGAGGACCGAACCCGUUAGCGUUGAAAAGCUUUGGGAUGACUUGUGGAUAGGGGUGAAAGGCCAAUCAAACUGAGAGAUAGCUCGUUCUCCCCGAAAUGUUUUUAGGAACAGCCUCAGAUAUAGAAGUUUACCAGAGGUAGAGCUACUGAUUGGGCUAGGGGGCUUCAUCGCCUACCAAACCCUGACAAACUCCGAAUGCUGGUAAAUAUCUCUGGGAGUGAGGCUGCGGGCGCUAAGGUCCGUGGCCGAGAGGGAAAUAACCCAGAUUAGCAACUAAGGCCCCCAAUACGUAGUUAAGUUGAACAAACGAGGUGAGACUUCAAUAACAGCCAGGAUGUUUGCUUGGAAGCAGCCAUUCAUUUAAAGAGUGCGUAACAGCUCACUGGUCGAGAGGUCUUGCACGGAAAAUAAUCGGGCAUCAAACUACGAGCCGAAGUUCUAAAAUUAUACUUUUAGUAUAAUUGGUAGGGGAGCAUUGAAACCAGCGUUGAAGGUGUGGCGUGAGCCAUG